CAGGCCUAACACAUGCAAGUCGAACGGGUCCUUCGGGACUAGUGGCGGACGGGUGAGUAACGCGUGGGAAUAUACCCUUUGGUACGGAAUAGCCUCGGGAAACUGAGAGUAAUACCGUAUGUBCCCUUCGGGGGAAAGAUUUAUCGCCAAAGGAUUAGCCCGCGUUGGAUUAGGUAGUUGGUGGGGUAAUGGCCUACCAAGCCGACGAUCCAUAGCUGGUUUGAGAGGAUGAUCAGCCACACUGGGACUGAGACACGGCCCAGACUCCUACGGGAGGCAGCAGUGGGGAAUCUUAGACAAUGGGGGAAACCCUGAUCUAGCCAUGCCGCGUGAUCGAUGAAGGCCUUAGGGUUGUAAAGAUCUUUCAGUUGGGAAGAUAAUGACGGUACCAACAGAAGAAGCCCCGGCUAACUCCGUGCCAGCAGCCGCGGUAAUACGGAGGGGGCUAGCGUUAUUCGGAAUUACUGGGCGUAAAGCGCACGUAGGCGGAUUAGAAAGUCAGAGGUGAAAUCCCAGGGCUCAACCUUGGAACUGCCUUUGAAACUUCUAGUCUUGAGUUCGAGAGAGGUGAGUGGAAUUCCGAGUGUAGAGGUGAAAUUCGUAGAUAUUCGGAGGAACACCAGUGGCGAAGGCGGCUCACUGGCUCGAUACUGACGCUGAGGUGCGAAACGUUGGGGAGCAAACAGGAUUAGAUACCCUGGUA
This 703-nucleotide ribosomal RNA is filed under the name uncultured Pseudomonadota bacterium. RNAcentral's name for it is "bacterial SSU rRNA". It matches the Rfam family "Bacterial small subunit ribosomal RNA", at positions 43 to 792 of the family's 1533-position model. Lineage: Bacteria; Pseudomonadati; Pseudomonadota. The record is from RNAcentral.